RNAcentral lists this ribosomal RNA (253 nucleotides) under uncultured bacterium. RNAcentral describes it as "partial 16S ribosomal RNA". It matches the Rfam family "Bacterial small subunit ribosomal RNA", at positions 524 to 776 of the family's 1533-position model. The record is from RNAcentral.
UACAGAGGUCCCAAGCGUUGUUCGGAUUCACUGGGCGUAAAGGGUGCGUAGGUGGUUGGGAAAGUUUGAUGUGAAAGCUCGGAGCUUAACUCCGAAAUGGCAUUGAAUACUUCUUAACUUGAGGGUCGGAGGGGAGACUGGAAUUCUCGGUGUAGCAGUGAAUGCGUAGAUAUCGAGAGGAACACCAGUGGCGAAGGCGAGUCUCUGGACGACUCCUGACACUGAGGCACGAAAGCUAGGGGAGCCAAACAGG